AUGAGGCGGACGAUGGAGGACGAGCGGUUCGCGGCGGCGCGGACUGACCCCAGGUUCCGAUCGAUGCCGCGGAAGGAGGCCAAGGUGGCUCUGGACUCCAGGUUCUAAAGCAUGCUGACGAACCCGAUCUUUGCUUCGUCGGAGGCGCCGGUGGACACGCGCGGCAGGCGCCGCAAGAAGUGCGCCCGGGAGAAACCCAUGUCGUAUUACUAUCUCAACCAAGACGGGAGUGAGAAGGAGGAGGAGAAGAAGAAGAAAGAGAAGCUCAUUCGUGAAGAGGAGGAUGAUGAGCCGGAAGAGGAUGAGCAAGAUGAUCAAGAAGAGAGUUCUAGUAGCGAUGACGACGCAGAGGAGGACGAGGACGAUGACCAGUACUCUGUCGGCAGUGGCAUUGCUCAUUACUUGAUGGCGAGGCAUGAUGAUACACCUAUGAUCGAUAAGGAAACACACAGGCUUGCUGUUGUUAAUAUGGACUGGGAUCAUAUUAAGGCAGUGGACUUGUAUAUGGGGAUGACAUCUUGCGUCCCGAAAGGUGGGCGAGUUCUAUCAGUUUCGAUAUAUCCAUCAGAAUUUGGACUGGAGUGCAUGAAUAUUGAGAGAACACAAGGCCCAUCUGCUCUUCUUGGUGCCGAUGAGGAUGAUGGUGGUGAUGGUGGGGAAAACGAUAACAACGAGGAUGAAGAUGACAACAAUGAUGAUGUUGAUGACGAAUACGAUAGUGAACAUGACUCUGAGACCGAGAACAGGCUGCGUGCUUAUGAGCUAAACAGACUGAGGUACUACUAUGCAGUUGUUGUGUGUGAUUCCAGUGCAACUGCGAAUCACCUAUACACAACUCUUGAUGGUACUGAGUUCUUGAAAACGGCAAAUGUGUACGAUUUGCAGUUUAUUCCUGACUCUAUGGAGUUCAAGCAUGCUGCUUGUGGUGUAGCUACAGAGGCACCUCCUACUUACAAGGAGCCUGAUUUUGAAACUCCUGCUUUGCAACCAAGCAAAGUUGAGCUCACCUGGGAUGACGAUGAACCAGAUCAUAAGAUCAUCUUGAGGUGGAAGUUCAAAGAGGAUCAGUUAGAUGGCCCUGGUAUAUACUCGUAUUUAGCAAGUGAUGACAGUGCAUCAGAUGAUGAUCUAGACGACUCUGGUGAUGAGUCUCUGCCAAAUGGUGUAGCGAAAAGAAAGUUAAUAAACAAGGAAAGGUUGGCUCUUUUACUACAAGGAGAUAAAUCUGACGAGGAACAAAGUGAUGACCAGGGCAUGGAGAUAACAUUCAACAUGGAACCCGAGGACCUCAGCAAGCGUAUCCUUGAGAGAAAGAGCACCGAGACGAAGACUGUCUGGGAGACGCACCAAGAAAAAACGAAGGAGAAGCGGAAAGCUAGGAAGAGGUCGUCAAAGGAUGAUGAUGACUACAGUGACGAAGAUAGCGCUGAUGAAAAUGAUGAUUUCUUUGAGGAUGAAAAGGCUGAUGAAGAAGUUAGGCCAAUCAAGAAACAGAAGGUGAAGACCAAAGGGAAAGCAAAGGACAAGCUUCCAGAGGAACAUUUUGAGCCAGAAGCAACUAAAGAAGAGUUGGAGCUCUUGGUUGCUGCUGACCAGGAUGCAGCCAAUGGUGCAAAGGGUUGUAACAUAGAACGCAGGAGUAAGAAGGGCAAGGAUUGUGUCGAGGACAAACUUCCUGAAAUCGAUAUUAGCACAGAUGACUCGAGGUUCUCAGCCACGUUGACGAAUCAUCUGUAUGCAUUGGAUCCUACUGAUCCCAAGUACAAGAGGAGUGCCACCUUCAUGAGAAAACAAGCUAGGAAGAAGGGUGCGCAUGCAGAUGCAGGAACAUUGGACAGUGAACCACCUGUGGAGGAAUCACCUCUGGGGAAUCUAGAUGAUGCAUCUUGUAAGAAGACACGGAAACACGAUGGGGCGCGCUCCACGGAGAAACUGCAGAUGCUGUCUACUGUCAAUUCUCUCAAAAGGAACCUUACCGGGUUCAAGAAAGCAAGCUAGAGUGAUCGAUAG
Molecule: ribosomal RNA, 2010 nt
Filed under: Triticum aestivum (bread wheat)
Lineage: Eukaryota; Viridiplantae; Streptophyta; Magnoliopsida; Poales; Poaceae
Description: partial small subunit ribosomal RNA
Source: RNAcentral